Molecule: ribosomal RNA, 815 nt
Filed under: uncultured bacterium
Lineage: Bacteria
Description: bacterial SSU rRNA
Rfam family: Bacterial small subunit ribosomal RNA
Source: RNAcentral
CCUGGGAACUGCGUUNUGAACUGGGUGACUAGAGUGUGUCAGAGGGAGGUAGAAUUCCACGUGUAGCAGUGAAAUGCGUAGAGAUGUGGAGGAAUACCGAUGGCGAAGGCAGCCUCCUGGGAUAACACUGACGUUCAUGCCCGAAAGCGUGGGUAGCAAACAGGAUUAGAUACCCUGGUAGUCCACGCCCUAAACGAUGUCGAUUAGCUGUUGGGCAGCAUGACUGCUUAGUAGCGAAGCUAACGCGUGAAAUCGACCGCCUGGGGAGUAGGGUCGCAAGAUUAAAACUCAAAGGAAUUGACGGGGACCCGCACAAGCGGUGGAUGAUGUGGAUUAAUUCGAUGCAACGCGAAGAACCUUACCUGGUCUUGACAUGUACGGAACCCUCCAGAGACGGAGGAGUGCCUUCGGGAGCCGUAACACAGGUGCUGCAUGGCUGUCGUCAGCUCGUGUCGUGAGAUGUUGGGUUAAGUCCCGCAACGAGCGCAACCCUUGUCAUUAGUUGCCGUCAUUAAGUUGGGCACUCUAAUGAGACUGCCGGUGACAAGCCGGAGGAAGGUGGGGAUGACGUCAAGUCCUCAUGGCCCUUAUGACCAGGGCUUCACACGUCAUACAAUGGUCGGUACAGAGGGUAGCCAAGCCGCGAGGCGGAGCCAAUCUCACAAAACCGAUCGUAGUCCGGAUUGCACUCUGCAACUCGAGUGCAUGAAGUCGGAAUCGCUAGUAAUCGCAGGUCAGCAUACUGCGGUGAAUACGUUCCCGGGUCUUGUACACACCGCCCGUCACACCAUGGGAGUGGGGGAUACCAGAAGUNG